AUUGAACGCUGGCGGCAGGCCUAACACAUGCAAGUCGAGCGAGCGGCGGACGGGUGAGUAAUGUCUGGGAAACUGCCUGAUGGAGGGGGAUAACUACUGGAAACGGUAGCUAAUACCGCAUACCAUCAGAUGUGCACAGAUGGGAUUAGCUAGUAGGUGGGGUAACGGCUCACCUAGGCGACGAACCCUAGCUGGUCUGAGAGGAUGACCAGCAACACUGGAACUGAGAAACGGCCCAGACUCCUACGGGGGGAGGAAGUGGGGAAUAUUGCACAAGGGGCGCAGGCCUGAUACAGCCAGGCCGCGUGUGUGAAGAGGGCUUUGGGGUUGUAAAGCACGUUCAGCGGGGAGGCGUUACCCGCAGAAGAAGCACCGGCUAACUCCGUGCCAGCAGCCGCGGUAAUAC
Molecule: ribosomal RNA, 406 nt
Filed under: uncultured bacterium
Lineage: Bacteria
Description: partial 16S ribosomal RNA
Rfam family: Bacterial small subunit ribosomal RNA
Source: RNAcentral